CCUACGGGAGGCAGCAGUGGGGAAUUUUGGACAAUGGGCGCAAGCCUGAUCCAGCCAUGCCGCGUGCGGGAAGAAGGCCUUCGGGUUGUAAACCGCUUUUGUCAGGGAAGAAACGCUUUGGGAUAAUACCCUGAGGUAAUGACGGUACCUGAAGAAUAAGCACCGGCUAACUACGUGCCAGCAGCCGCGGUAAUACGUAGGGUGCAAGCGUUAAUCGGAAUUACUGGGCGUAAAGCGUGCGCAGGCGGUUCUAUAAGACAGAUGUGAAAUCCCCGGGCCGUCAACCUGGGAACGUGCAUUUGUGACUGUAGAGCUUGAGUGCGGCANAGGGGGAGUGGAAUUCCGCGUGUAGCAGUGAAAUGCGUAGAUAUGCGGAGGAACACCGAUGGCGAAGGCAAUCCCCUGGGCCUGCACUGACGCUCAUGCACGAAAGCGUGGGGAGCAAACAGGAUUAGAUACCCUGGUAGUCCACGCCCUAAACCGAUGUCAACUGGUUGUUGGGAAGGUUCCUUCUCAGUAACGUAGCUAACGCGUGAAGUUGACCGCCUGGGGAGUACGCCGCAAGGUUGAAACUCAAGAGUAUCGGCGNGNGAGAGNGACGACGACGACGACGGAGGAGGAG
This 622-nucleotide ribosomal RNA is filed under the name uncultured bacterium. Its description in RNAcentral is "bacterial SSU rRNA". It matches the Rfam family "Bacterial small subunit ribosomal RNA", at positions 338 to 949 of the family's 1533-position model. The record is from RNAcentral.